AGUGAACGCUGGCGGUAGGCCUAACACAUGCAAGUCGAACGGCAGCACAGGAGAGCUUGCUCUCUGGGUGGCGAGUGGCGGACGGGUGAGGAAUACAUCGGAAUCUGCCCAAUCGUGGGGGAUAACGUAGGGAAACUUACGCUAAUACCGCAUACGACCUUCGGGUGAAAGAGGGGGAUCGCAAGACCUCUCGCGAUUGGAUGAGCCGAUGUCGGAUUAGCUAGUUGGCGGGGUAAUGGCCCACCAAGGCGACGAUCCGUAGCUGGUCUGAGAGGAUGAUCAGCCACACUGGAACUGAGACACGGUCCAGACUCCUACGGGAGGCAGCAGUGGGGAAUAUUGGACAAUGGGCGCAAGCCUGAUCCAGCCAUACCGCGUGGGUGAAGAAGGCCUUCGGGUUGUAAAGCCCUUUUGUUGGGAAAGAAAUCUUUCAGGCUAAUACCCUGGGAGGAUGACGGUACCCAAAGAAUAAGCACCGGCUAACUUCGUG
RNAcentral lists this ribosomal RNA (490 nucleotides) under uncultured bacterium. Its description in RNAcentral is "partial 16S ribosomal RNA". It matches the Rfam family "Bacterial small subunit ribosomal RNA", at positions 29 to 507 of the family's 1533-position model. The record is from RNAcentral.